This 1436-nucleotide ribosomal RNA is filed under the name uncultured bacterium. RNAcentral describes it as "bacterial SSU rRNA". It matches the Rfam family "Bacterial small subunit ribosomal RNA". The record is from RNAcentral.
AGAGUUUGAUCCUGGCUCAGAACGUACGCUGGCGGCACGCCUAAUACAUGCAAGUCGAACGAAGUAGCAAUACUUAGUGGCAGACGGGUGAGUAACAUGUAGGUAUCUACCCUUUGGCCUGGAAUAACACGAGGAAACUUGUGCUAAUACCGGAUAAGUCUUUACGGAGAAAGCUUUAUGCACCAGUGGAUGAGCCUGCACUUGAUUAGUUUGUUGGUGGGGUAAUGGCCUACCAAGACAAUGAUCAAUAGCUGAUUUGAGAGGAUGAUCAGCCACAUUGGGACUGAGACACGGCCCAAACUCCUACGGGAGGCAGCAGUAGGGAAUCUUGCACAAUGGAGGAAACUCUGAUGCAGCGAUGCCGCGUGAGUGAAGAAGGCCUUUGGGUUGUAAAGCUCUUUCGUCGGGGAAGAAAAUGACUGUACCCGAAUAAGAAGGUCCGGCUAACUUCGUGCCAGCAGCCGCGGUAAUACGAAGGGACCUAGCGUAGUUCGGAAUUACUGGGCUUAAAGAGUUCGUAGGUGGUUAAAAAAGUUGGUGGUGAAAUCCCAGAGCUUAACUCUGGAACUGCCAUCAAAACUUUUUAGCUAGAGUAUGAUAGAGGAAAGCAGAAUUUCUAGUGUAGAGGUGAAAUUCGUAGAUAUUAGAAAGAAUACCGAUUGCGAAGGCAGCUUUCUGGAUCAUUACUGACACUGAGGAACGAAAGCAUGGGUAGCGAAGAGGAUUAGAUACCCUCGUAGUCCAUGCCGUAAACGAUGUGUGUUAGACGUUGGAAAUUUAUUUUCAGUGUCGCAGCGAAAGCGAUAAACACACCGCCUGGGGAGUACGACCGCAAGGUUAAAACUCAAAUGAAUUGACGGGGACCCGCACAAGUAGUGGAGCAUGUGGUUUAAUUCGAAGAUACGCGCAGAACCUUACCAACACUUGACAUGUUCGUCGCGACUCUAAGAGAUUAGAGUUUUCGGUUCGGCCGGACGAAACACAGGUGCUGCAUGGCUGUCGUCAGCUCGUGUCGUGAGAUGUUGGGUUAAGUCCCGCAACGAGCGCAACCCUUACUUUUAGUUGCCAUCAUUUAGUUGGGCACUCUGAAAGAACUGCCAGUGAUAAGCUGGAGGAAGGUGGGGAUGACGUCAAGUCCUCAUGGCCCUUAUGUGUUGGGCUACACACGUGCUACAAUGGUAUCUACAACAGGAAGCAAGAUGGCAACAUUAAGCAAAUCCCAAAAAGAUACCUCAGUUCGGAUUGCACUCUGCAACUCGAGUGCAUGAAGCUGGAAUUACUAGUAAUCGUGGAUCAGCGUGCCACGGUGAAUACGUUCCCGGGUCUUGUACACACCGCCCGUCACACCAUGGGAGUUGGUUCUACCUUAAGGCAAGGUUUUAAACCCUUGACCACGGUAUAGUCAGCGACUGGGGUGAAGUCGUAACAAGGUAACC